Molecule: ribosomal RNA, 637 nt
Filed under: uncultured soil bacterium
Lineage: Bacteria
Description: bacterial SSU rRNA
Rfam family: Bacterial small subunit ribosomal RNA
Source: RNAcentral
AGGUAGUUGGUGAGGUAAACGGGCUCACCAAGGGCGACGAUCAGUAGGGGAUCUGAGAGGAUUAACCCCCACACGGAUACUGAGACACGGAUCCGACUCCUACGGGAGGCAGCAGUAAGGAAUAUUGGACAAUGCCCGCAAGGGUGAUCCAGCCAUGCCGCGUGCAGGAAGACGGCCNUAUGGGUUGUAAACUGCUUUUAUACCGGAGAAAACCUCUUCUCGUGAGAAGAGCUGAUAGUAUGGUAAGAAUAAGCAUCGGCUAACUUCGUGCCAGCAGCCGCGGUAAGACGAAGGAUGCAAGCGUUAUCCGGAUUCAUUGGGUUUAAAGGGAGCGUAGGUGGCCUUAUAAGUCAGUGGUGAAAUCUCUCGGCUUAACCGAGAAAUUGCCAUUGAUACUGUAGGGCUUGAGUACAGUUGCUGUGGGCGGAAUAUGACAUGUAGUGGUGAAAUACAUAGAGAUGUCAUAGAACACCGAUUGCGAAGGCAGCUCACAAAACUGUAACUGACACUGAGGCUCGAAAGUGCGGGGAUCAAACAGGAUUAGAUACCCUGGUAGUCCGCACUGUAAACGAUGAUUACUCGCUGCUAGAGGGCAACUUUUAGUGGCUUAGCGAAAGCGAUAAGUAAUCCACCUGGG